AACGGGAGUAAGAACAACAGGGAUUGCCUUAGUAACUGCGAGUGAAGCGGCAAAAGCUCAAAUUUGAAAUGAGGCCCGUUGAUUGUCUGAUUAAUCAGCUCUCGACCCCUCAGUUGUAAUUUAGAGGAUUGCCAUGGUGAUAGCGCCCAUACGAAGUUCUUUGGAACAAGACACCAAUGAGGGUGAUAGUCCCGUCAGAUGAAAAAUGGUGCGCUACGGUGUCCGAUAUGGCAUAUCCGACGAGUCGAGUUGUUUGGGAAUGCAGCUCAAAAUGGGUGGUAAAUUUCAUCUAAAGCUAAAUACAGGCUGGAGACCGAUAGCGAACAAGUAGAGUGAUCGAAAGAUGAAAAGCACUUUGAAAAGAGAGUUAAAUAGUACGUGAAAUUGUUGAAAGGGAAGCGCUUGAGACCAGAUUCGGCUGGCGGUGUUCAUCCAUGCAAAUUUCUGCAUGGUGUAUGUGCCGUUGGUUGAGCCAGCAUCGGUUCUAAUGGCGGGAUAAAGGUUCGAGGAAUGUGGCUCCAAAAUUAUGCGGAGUGUUAUAGCCUUGAGUGCAAUGUCGCCUAUUGGAAUCGAGGACCGCGCUUCGGCUAGGAUGUUGGCUAAAAGGUCUUAAGCGGCCCGUCUUGAAACACGGACCAAGGAGUCUAACAUCUAUGCGAGUGUUUUGGCGUGAAACCAUUGCGCGUAAUGAAAGUGAACGAGGUGGGAACCCCAAGUUGGGGUGCACCAUCGACCGAUCCUGAAGUUUACGGAAGGAUUUGAGUAGAAGCAUAGCUGUUGGGACCCGAAAGAUGGUGAACUAUGCCUGAAUAGGGUGAAGCCAGAGGAAACUCUGGUGGAGGCUCGCAGCGGUUCUGACGUGCAAAUCGAUCGUCAAAUUUGGGUAUAGGGGCGAAAGACUAAUCGAACCCAUCCAAAUUCU
This 922-nucleotide ribosomal RNA is filed under the name Otidea propinquata. Its description in RNAcentral is "partial large subunit ribosomal RNA". It matches the Rfam family "Eukaryotic large subunit ribosomal RNA", at positions 48 to 952 of the family's 3401-position model. Lineage: Eukaryota; Fungi; Ascomycota; Pezizomycetes; Pezizales; Pyronemataceae. The record is from RNAcentral.